CAGGGCUUUUUUGUUUUGCUUUGUUUGUUUUGUUUUAAAGCUAUGCAGUGAAGAAAUGGAACAAUUAAUGAAUAAUUUCAGUAUGAUUCGCCCCAGAGGUUACUUCAUUGGUUAUGCCCCACUUCUUAAUAUUUUUCUGCCUUACGGAGCUGAGGGAUGUAAACCUGUUCGGGAGAAGUCUAGCAUGCAUGAGCUUCUCACUUCCUUCUGCGUCAAAGGUUUUGCUUUUUCCAGUUUCUUAACGUGUUGUUUAGCUAGUCUUAAAAUUUUUCAAAUACAUCAAAACCAAAUGAACUUCCCAUUUCAUUAAGGAAACAGCAGUGCUAUCAGUACAAGUGUCAUCAGCAAAUGAGAUCAAGAGGAAACAAAAUGAAAAAGCUAUUUUACAAAACAAGUGGUCUCACCCAUGCAACGCAACCAAAUUAAUUGGAACGAUUGAGACAAACCAAAGCAAAGCCUGAAGUGGAACCCACUGCCAUCAUUUCAAGACCUAUUAUUUCAAGUAACCACGUGGGGAACAUGAUGGUGAUUGCGGCCAGUGUGGAGUGGUUGCCUUCUUCCAACAUGGGCAGAGUGCUGCUGAGCCUGCAGGGCUGAGCCAAAGCUGCUACAGAGACUUCCCAGGCGAUGUCUGAUUGGAAAACUUUGAACAUGGUCUCCUAUCAUGAGUUAUUACUGCUCCUGAAUGUACAGCACUUAGGAAUACAAAUGGUGGUCUCUGCAGCACAUUUAAAUGGGCUGUGUGUUGUCUGUCCUUUCUCACGUUGUGGAAUGUGUUCCUAUGGGUUCCUCUGUUGGAGAAGCGUGACAUCAUUUUUCAGACAGAAUCGGUGAGGCUUUAAGUUCAGAUACCCGACAGGUGAACAGCCAGACCUGUAGGUUUUCUUCCCCAAAUCCGCGCGUAAAGGAGAUAACGGGUCUUUAUCUGACUAUGGGAUUUAAUUUUUUUUUCCAUAGAAUCACAGAACUGUGGAAUCUUUGGGGUUAGAAGGGACCUCUGAAGCUCGCCCAGUCCAGCUCACCUGCACUGAACAGCAACAUGCACGGCUAGGCCAGGAAACGUGGUUGAGACUUCACAUCUUCAGGCUUUCUCAAAUGUGAAGAACUUUCUUAAUGCCUAUCGAAAUUUGGGAUUCUUUGUAACCGAAUAAUUCCUGGAGGCUGAGCUGUAAAGAAAACACGGGCUGCUCGAACACAUUCUCCAGAAUUCUAAAAAUGCAAAACAAUUAUUGUUGGCUUCAAAGAGUUACUCAGAGUAAAGAACAGCUUUAUCUACAUCUGAUCUUCAGGGGGGGGGGAAAAAAAAAGCAUAUGGGCCUGGAAACAUCCCAGCCUCUCAGACAGCACUGAUAUUCUCCUAAUGCAGCUACCAGGCCAGGUGUACUUCAGUGUGAGGGCUGUGCGGUGGCCUUCAGCAGUCUUCAGCUGGAGCUGCCAAACCCUCUUGUGUUGUAAUUAAACGGUACAUUUGGAGCAAAAGGAAAAUAUGCAGCAGUUUGUUUAUUCAGAAGGAAAUGCUUGAUA
This 1524-nucleotide long non-coding RNA is filed under the name Gallus gallus (chicken). RNAcentral describes it as "lncRNA (ENSGALG00010005116.1)". The record is from RNAcentral. Lineage: Eukaryota; Metazoa; Chordata; Aves; Galliformes; Phasianidae.